This is a long non-coding RNA of Ipomoea triloba (trilobed morning glory), 751 nucleotides long. RefSeq lists it as uncharacterized. The transcript has 4 exons. NCBI's taxonomy places the organism in Eukaryota, Viridiplantae, Streptophyta, Magnoliopsida, Solanales, Convolvulaceae. The record is from RefSeq and is a predicted model, not a curated record.
GGAGUGUUGUACUUUAUAUAAGCUAGUAUAGUACAGCAUGUGUGAGAUAAAGUUUUGCAGAUCUCUACUAUUAAAGUCUCAUUUGUGACUUCACUGACUUGCCUGUUGCCUCGCCUUCUCUUCCUCUUCUAAAAUUUAAAGCAGUCAAGCCAAUCUCCUCAAGCUAUCAGUGUAUGGAAUCUCAACAAAUGAAUUGUGGAAAUUCUUCUACUCGCGACCAGACUUUUUUGGUGAUAUGAUCUAAUCUUCAACAAAUAUAUUACCAUUGUGGUAUUGGUGUUUUUUUGGAGGCAUUAUGGCAGCAAGAUUGUUACUAUACCGGAAUUGAUGCAAUUUGAAGAAUUUCCGAGCAUGUGUUUUAUAAGGAAUACUUUAUUGGUUUUCGUGUUGUUGGUGACAGUGUUAGAAUUGUCCUUUAGCAACCUGAAUUCGGACGGCCGAUCAUCGACAGGGGCAAAAUAGACCCUUCUAUUUGCAAAGAACAACAACUAAUGCACAAUGUAUUAAUUAUUUCGCCUGAAAAAGUCUUGGGCAAAAAUGGUGGCUUGGGCAAAAAUGGUGGCUCUUUAUAUUAUUUAUAUUAUUUAAAGAUACAAAAAGAGAUAUAAAUCAAAGAUAUAUAUAACCUUGAUUGAGACUUAUUAUAUUUUUUUUAUAUACAUAUACAUAUAUGUGCACCACUUUUUAUAACCUAAUGACAAAGUACCUGUACAUUAAUAAAAACAGAGAAAUUUCUAUUAACAACCAUUAA